UGGGGAAUAUUGCACAAUGGGCGAAAGCCUGAUGCAGCGACGCCNCGUGAAGGAUGAAGUAUUUCGGUAUGUAAACUUCUAUCAGCAGGGAAGAAAAUGACGGUACCUGACUAAGAAGCCCCGGCUAACUACGUGCC
RNAcentral lists this ribosomal RNA (137 nucleotides) under uncultured bacterium. Its description in RNAcentral is "partial 16S ribosomal RNA". It matches the Rfam family "Bacterial small subunit ribosomal RNA", at positions 355 to 509 of the family's 1533-position model. The record is from RNAcentral.